Molecule: ribosomal RNA, 253 nt
Filed under: uncultured bacterium
Lineage: Bacteria
Description: partial 16S ribosomal RNA
Rfam family: Bacterial small subunit ribosomal RNA
Source: RNAcentral
UACGGGGGGGGCAAGCGUUGUUCGGAAUUACUGGGCGUAAAGGGCGCGUAGGCGGCCCGCUAAGUCGAACGUGAAAUCCCCGAGCUCAACUCGGGAACUGCGUCCGAUACUGGUGGGCUUGAAUCCGGGAGAGGGAUGCGGAGUUCCAGGUGUAGCGGUGAAAUGCGUAGAUAUCUGGAGGAACACCGGUGGCGAAGGCGGCAUCCUGGACCGGCAUUGACGCUGAGGCGCGAAAGCUAGGGGAGCAAACGGG